This 411-nucleotide ribosomal RNA is filed under the name uncultured Desulfobulbus sp. Its description in RNAcentral is "bacterial SSU rRNA". It matches the Rfam family "Bacterial small subunit ribosomal RNA", at positions 977 to 1382 of the family's 1533-position model. The record is from RNAcentral. Lineage: Bacteria; Pseudomonadati; Thermodesulfobacteriota; Desulfobulbia; Desulfobulbales; Desulfobulbaceae.
GGUCUUGACAUCCCGGAGACCCUUAGGAAACUAGGGGGUGCUUCCAUCUGGAAGAAUCUGGAGACAGGUGCUGCAUGGCUGUCGUCAGCUCGUGUCGUGAGAUGUUGGGCUAAGCCCCGCAACGAGCGCAACCCUUGCCUUUAGUUGCCAGCAGUUCGGCUGGGCACUCUAAAGGGACUGCCGGUGUUAAACCGGAGGAAGGUGGGGAUGACGUCAAGUCCUCAUGGCCUUUAUGACCAGGGCUACACACGUACUACAAUGGCCGAUACAAAGGGCAGCGACACUGCGAGGUGAAGCCAAUCCCGUAAAAUCGGUCUCAGUCCGGAUUGGAGUCUGCAACUCGACUCCAUGAAGUUGGAAUCGCUAGUAAUCGUGGAUCAGCAUGCCACGGUGAAUACGUUCCCGGGCCUU